RNAcentral lists this ribosomal RNA (429 nucleotides) under Acidobacteriota bacterium. RNAcentral describes it as "Acidobacteria bacterium partial 16S ribosomal RNA". It matches the Rfam family "Bacterial small subunit ribosomal RNA", at positions 355 to 776 of the family's 1533-position model. The record is from RNAcentral. Lineage: Bacteria; Pseudomonadati; Acidobacteriota.
UGGGGAAUUUUGGACAAUGGGGGAAACCCUGAUCCAGCCAUCCCGCGUGUGCGAUGAAGGCCUUCGGGUUGUAAAGCACUUUUGGCAGGAAAGAAACGUCAUGGGUUAAUACCCCGUGAAACUGACGGUACCUGCAGAAUAAGCACCGGCUAACUACGUGCCAGCAGCCGCGGUAAUACGUAGGGUGCAAGCGUUAAUCGGAAUUACUGGGCGUAAAGCGUGCGCAGGCGGUUCGGAAAGAAAGAUGUGAAAUCCCAGAGCUCAACUUUGGAACUGCAUUUUUAACUACCGGGCUAGAGUGUGUGAGAGGGGGGUGGAAAUCCGCGUGUAGCAGUGAAAUGCGUAGAUAUGCGGAGGAACACCGAUGGCGAAGGCAGCCUCCUGGGAUAACACUGACGCUCAGGAACGAAAGCGUGGGGAGCAAACAGG